RNAcentral lists this ribosomal RNA (492 nucleotides) under uncultured bacterium. RNAcentral describes it as "partial 16S ribosomal RNA". It matches the Rfam family "Bacterial small subunit ribosomal RNA", at positions 29 to 507 of the family's 1533-position model. The record is from RNAcentral.
AGUGAACGCUGGCGGUAGGCCUAACACAUGCAAGUCGAACGGCAGCACAGUAAGAGCUUGCUCUUACGGGUGGCGAGUGGCGGACGGGUGAGGAAUACAUCGGAAUCUACUUUUUCGUGGGGGAUAACGUGGGGAAACUUACGCUAAUACCGCAUACGACCUACGGGUGAAAGCAGGGGAUCUUCGGACCUUGCGCGAUUGAAUGGGCCGAUGUCGGAUUAGCUAGUUGGCGGGGUAAAGGCCCACCAAGGCGACGAUCCGUAGCUGGUCUGAGAGGAUGAUCAGCCACACUGGAACUGAGACACGGUCCAGACUCCUACGGGAGGCAGCAGUGGGGAAUAUUGGACAAUGGGCGCAAGCCUGAUCCAGCCAUACCGCGUGGGUGAAGAAGGCCUUCGGGUUGUAAAGCCCUUUUGUUGGGAAAGAAAAGCAGCAGGUUAAUACCCCGCUGUUCUGACGGUACCCAAAGAAUAAGCACCGGCUAACUUCGUG